AUGCUCAAAGCCAGGUACUAUCCUGAUGGAAACAUAGAGGAUACUGUCUUCUCCGGCAAUGCAUCUUCUUCGUGGCAAGCAAUCAGCCAUGGCCUUGAUCUGUUAAAAAAGGGCUUAAUCUGGAGAGUGGGGAACGGCAGAAGUAUUCGUGUGUGGCACGAUAAUUGGAUCCCAAGACCCUUCUCCUAUAAACCCAUCACCUUACAAGGAAGAUGCAGAAUCCGCUUCGUGUCUGAUCUACUUAAUGAUAAUGGCUCAUGGAAUGUUAGGCUGUUGCAGGAGUAUUUCCUCCCGGUUGAUGUAAAUGAGAUACUGAAAAUAAGGGCGUCUCCUAGACAUGAGGACGACACCUUGGCUUGGGGGCCGGGCAAGUUUGGCGUUUUUUCGGUCAAGAGUGCAUACCAAUUGGGUUUUGAAGAGGCUCACAGGAGUUCGGCAACGGGCUCUAGUUCGCGACCUAAUGGCCGGCGCUCUUGUUGGAAGCUCAUAUGGUCUUCGGAUGUUCCUCCUACGGUCCAGAAUUUUGCGUGGCGGGUUGCUACAAACUCACUGCCGACAUGGUGCAACAAGUACAGGCGUGGACUUGAAACAAGUAACCUUUGUCCGGUAUGUGCUAGUGAACCAGAGGACUGCUACCAUGCUCUCUGUCGCUGCUCCUUUACGAGGAUCUUAUGA
This 675-nucleotide ribosomal RNA is filed under the name Triticum aestivum (bread wheat). RNAcentral's name for it is "partial small subunit ribosomal RNA". Lineage: Eukaryota; Viridiplantae; Streptophyta; Magnoliopsida; Poales; Poaceae. The record is from RNAcentral.